CUACGGGAUGCUCCAGUGGGGAAUCUUGCACAAUGGAGGAAACUCUGAUGCAGCGAUGCCGCGUGAGUGAAGAAGGCCCUUGGGUUGUAAAGCUCUUUCGUCGGGGAAGAAAAUGACUGUACCCGAAUAAGAAGGUCCGGCUAACUUCGUGCCAGCAGCCGCGGUAAUACGAAGGGACCUAGCGUAGUUCGGAAUUACUGGGCUUAAAGAGUUCGUAGGUGGUUGAAAAAGUUAGUGGUGAAAUCCCAGAGCUUAACUCUGGAACUGCCAUUAAAACUUUUCAGCUAGAGUAUGAUAGAGGAAAGCAGAAUUUCUAGUGUAGAGGUGAAAUUCGUAGAUAUUAGAAAGAAUACCAAUUGCGAAGGCAGCUUUCUGGAUCAUUACUGACACUGAGGAACGAAAGCAUGGGUAGCGAAGAGGAUUAGAUACCCGUGUAGUC
RNAcentral lists this ribosomal RNA (439 nucleotides) under uncultured bacterium. RNAcentral's name for it is "partial 16S ribosomal RNA". It matches the Rfam family "Bacterial small subunit ribosomal RNA", at positions 339 to 795 of the family's 1533-position model. The record is from RNAcentral.